Ictidomys tridecemlineatus (thirteen-lined ground squirrel) is the source of this 72-nucleotide non-coding RNA. NCBI's taxonomy places the organism in Eukaryota, Metazoa, Chordata, Mammalia, Rodentia, Sciuridae. The record is from Rfam.
GGAAGGAUAGCUCAGUGGUAGAGCACUUGCCUGGUGUGUGAAAGGAUCUGGGCUCCAUCCCCAGUUCUUCAA